Rhododendron vialii is the source of this 309-nucleotide long non-coding RNA. RefSeq lists it as uncharacterized. Lineage: Eukaryota; Viridiplantae; Streptophyta; Magnoliopsida; Ericales; Ericaceae. The record is from RefSeq and is a predicted model, not a curated record. The transcript has 3 exons.
AUGGAGGAAGACACGGCCAGGAAGCCCAAGUUGUUCUUGUGCACACUCUGCAUCUGCGUAGAAGGAGUUAUACUCCCUACACAUCCCCAUCCUAUACUCACAAAGCAGACGUGUGUAACCCGCAUAUGAUGUUGUACCAAGAGCAAAAGGUUGGAAUUGAGUUGUAAGUAAAGUCCGCCCCUCGGACGUUUUUGUGGCUGCCCAAAAUUGAACUAGGUGCCAACCAAGUUCAUCCUUGGAUAUCAAUUUUUGGAGAGCAUUUCUGACUAAGUCCGCAAAAUUAUCUAGAGAGAGAGAGGACUUGCCGAG